This 210-nucleotide ribosomal RNA is filed under the name Escherichia coli. RNAcentral's name for it is "partial 23S ribosomal RNA". It matches the Rfam family "Bacterial large subunit ribosomal RNA", at positions 1138 to 1346 of the family's 2925-position model. Lineage: Bacteria; Pseudomonadati; Pseudomonadota; Gammaproteobacteria; Enterobacterales; Enterobacteriaceae. The record is from RNAcentral.
UAGCUCACUGGUCGAGUCGGCCUGCGCGGAAGAUGUAACGGGGCUAAACCAUGCACCGAAGCUGCGGCAGCGACGCUGAUGCGUUGUUGGGUAGGGGAGCGUUCUGUAAGCCUGUGAAGGUGUACUGUGAGGUAUGCUGGAGGUAUCAGAAGUGCGAAUGCUGACAUAAGUAACGAUAAAGCGGGUGAAAAGCCCGCUCGCCGGAAGACC